Molecule: ribosomal RNA, 253 nt
Filed under: uncultured bacterium
Lineage: Bacteria
Description: partial 16S ribosomal RNA
Rfam family: Bacterial small subunit ribosomal RNA
Source: RNAcentral
UACGUAGGGGGCAAGCGUUGUCCGGAUUUAUUGGGCGUAAAGAGCGUGUAGGCGGCCGUACAGGUCAGCUGUGAAAACUCGAGGCUCAACCUCGAGACGUCGGUUGAAACCGUACGGCUAGAGUCCGGAAGAGGAGAGUGGAAUUCCCGGUGUAGCGGUGAAAUGCGCAGAUAUCGGGAAGAACACCCGUGGCGAAGGCGGUUCUCUGGGACGGUACUGACGCUGAGACGCGAAAGCGUGGGGAGCGAACAGG